GACGAACGCUAGCGGCGUGCUUAACACAUGCAGUCGAACGGUGAAGGUGGAGCUUGCUCCGCCGGAUCAGUGGCGAACGGGUGAGUAACACGUGGGCAACCUGCCCCUCACUUCGGGAUAACUCCGGGAAACCGGGGCUAAUACCGAAUACGACCUCCUUGGGCAUCCCGGGAGGUGGAAAGUUUUUCGGUGAGGGAUGGGCCCGCGGCCUAUCAGCUUGUUGGUGAGGUAACGGCUCACCAAGGCGACGACGGGUAGCCGGCCUGAGAGGGCGACCGGCCACACUGGGACUGAGACACGGCCCAGACUCCUACGGGAGGCAGCAGUGGGGAAUAUUGCGCAAUGGGCGAAAGCCUGACGCAGCAACGCCGCGUGCGGGAUGAAGGCCUUCGGGUUGUAAACCGCUUUCAGCAGGGAAGAAGCCGCAAGGUGACGGUACCUGCAGAAGAAGCACCGGCUAACUACGUGCCAGCCGCCGCGGUAA
Molecule: ribosomal RNA, 484 nt
Filed under: uncultured bacterium
Lineage: Bacteria
Description: partial 16S ribosomal RNA
Rfam family: Bacterial small subunit ribosomal RNA
Source: RNAcentral